GAUGAACGCUGGCGGCGUGCUUAACACAUGCAAGUCGAACGGAAAGGCUCCUGCUUGCAGGGGUACUCGAGUGGCGAACGGGUGAGUAACACGUGGGUGAUCUGCCCUGCACUUCGGGAUAAGCCUGGGAAACUGGGUCUAAUACCGGAUAGGACGAUGGUUUGGACGCCAUUGUGGAAAGUUUUUCGGUGUGGGAUGAGCUCGCGGCCUAUCAGCUUGUUGGUGGGGUAAUGGCCUACCAAGGCGUCGACGGGUAGCCGGCCUGAGAGGGUGUACGGCCACAUUGGGACUGAGAUACGGCCCAGACUCCUACGGGAGGCAGCAGUGGGGAAUAUUGCACAAUGGGCGCAAGCCUGAUGCAGCGACGCCGCGUGGGGGAUGACGGCCUUCGGGUUGUAAACUCCUUUCGUCAGGGACGAAGCGAAAGUGACGGUACCUGGAGAAGAAGCACCGGCUAACUACGUG
RNAcentral lists this ribosomal RNA (465 nucleotides) under uncultured bacterium. Its description in RNAcentral is "partial 16S ribosomal RNA". It matches the Rfam family "Bacterial small subunit ribosomal RNA", at positions 28 to 507 of the family's 1533-position model. The record is from RNAcentral.